AUGACCACUGGCAAGACCAAUCCCGAGUCAGAUGUCUAUAGCUUCGGUGUCGUGCUCCUUGAGACUGCUUGCGACAGGCGGCAUGUGGUGGUAGCUCAGCGGGAGGAGGACACAGUCCACCUAGCUCAGUGGGUCUGGGAUCUGUAUGGCAAGGGCAGGAUUCUAGACGCCACCGACGAGCGAUUGGGCGGAGAGUUUGAUGCCCAGGAGAUGAAGCGUGUGAUGAUCUUUAGGAUCUGGUGUUCUUAGCUCGACUUCAAAAUGAGACCGUCUAUCAGGCAGGCUGUGAACGUAUUGCGGUCAGAGGCGCCCCUCCCGAGUCUCCCUGUGCUGAUGCCGGUCGCAUAUUACAUGUCUCCGGUUGGUACACGAAGCUUUUCAUCUUUGUCUGUAACAACCGGAAGCAACAAUGGCACUUCUACAUCUUUUGUUUCGUGA
This 438-nucleotide ribosomal RNA is filed under the name Triticum aestivum (bread wheat). RNAcentral describes it as "partial small subunit ribosomal RNA". The record is from RNAcentral. Lineage: Eukaryota; Viridiplantae; Streptophyta; Magnoliopsida; Poales; Poaceae.